RNAcentral lists this long non-coding RNA (1732 nucleotides) under Homo sapiens (human). Its description in RNAcentral is "HSALNT0142475". Lineage: Eukaryota; Metazoa; Chordata; Mammalia; Primates; Hominidae. The record is from RNAcentral.
AGAGCACAGAUGAUGUCUCAAUCAUCAUUGUGUCCGCAAUGUCAAGAAAGCACAAUUCUCAUCACAUAGCAAGUCCUCCAGAAAUAGACUGGAACACGGAUAACAAAUACCUGCUGGGUUUGCUGCCACUACUACUUAAUCCUUCCUCUAUAGCUGGCAUUGCUAAUCACUCAUGACACUUUCCUGCUGAGCCCACAUGUAGACUCAGAUGGCUACAGGCAGUAACCACCAAUUGAUCAGAGCUGGCACACAAGAUGGAACCUAUUUGCAAUCCCUGGUCUAGAACAUUGUACCAUCUCUACUGAGCUGCUGCUUUGGGACUGACUUUACCAGGAGGCUCACCACAGGGGGUUGGAGUAGUCCUAGAAGGUGAAUAAAUGGCAGAGCCCACAUGGCAUACAAGAGGACAAGGUUUGUCACUCACAGGUUCUGGAAGGAAAGGUACAAGGAGCUGACAUGAACCUGAUUUUUAACCUGAAGCAGACAGAGUUGGGACCAGCUGGCCUGCAGUCCUGUGAGCAAGAAAUCGAUGUGCAUACUCAUGAGUAAACCAUAAACAUUUGCUGUUAUAACCCAGGAAGCUUUGGGAGUUGAUUUUUAUGUGGUGUUAUGGCAACAAUUGUUGAUGAAUGUGGGUAUACAGUAUUGGAAGUUCUCAUGUGUCUUUGAUGGCCAGCCUCUCAGUGCUUACAGAGCUCCUCAGCCUCACCAGAUAUUUCCCACUUGAAUAAUGAAGUUGUAUGGUUGGGAAUAGACAUUUUGGCUAUUUGGGUCAAUAGGUUUAGGACCUUUGGAGGAUUCAAGACUGGUAGAAAACCACAGCAUGGUCUAAGAUGCAGGUGUUCAUGCCUGCAGAAGCCCAUGAUUAGACCCAACUGGAGGAAGUUUGGAGCUUCUCUCAGACAUGUAAGAAUUGUUCUGAAGAAUCUGCAUCUUGUUGGGUGAAGGACUUCAGAAUGUGCAAUAAAAAUGCAAUAGUCUUGGACCUAUGUAACUGGAAGGAACUGGUGGACAAGCUCUUACUGCUUCUCCAGGUUCUCACAAGAAAGCAGGCAUGGAUUCCUUUUGCACAGCUCCUCCAGGCUUUCUGGGCCCUGUCAUUCCUUCUUCUAUCUUCUGGGUUGAGCAACAUGCAAUCUCCCCUUGUGCAGAAGCCCAAAUAGCUACUGAAAAUGUGUCCUCUCUGACUUUCCCCAUUUCUUGAACUCUGAGAGACUUUUUCUAGUAUCAGUUCUGAGGAGCAUUGCUGUUUUCCUUCCUAUCAUCUGGAAGACCUAGACUUUAAAACUCAAAACCUGAGAAAAACUUCCUUUUUUUUCUCUCUUUUGUCUGGAUCAUCACUACCUUGAAAUACUAAAUUAGCAAAGUCCUAACUAGAAACUGAAUUGGCUAAAGAGUCAAGGAGCAACAGGUAAUUCCAAGAAAAACAACAGCAAACUUACAUCAGUUAACAUUUCAAAGCUAUUUUCCUUUGCAAUUUUGUGUAUCUGUUUUUAUGGAAUGCAAGAGAUAAUAGGCUAAAUGCUAUUUUGCAUAUGUGUUACAUUGGAUUUCUCACAUAUUCUACUACUUAACUCAAGAUGUUGAGUAAAUAAAUGAGUUAAUAAACUGGAAUUUCUAUAUCAGCUCUUGGUUCUAGUUAUGUUUCGUUUGUUUUGGAUUUUUUUUCUUUUUGAAUGCUUAUUCACUGGCCCAGCUGUAUUUAUGCCUAGAUUAACCAGAUACAUUGCCA